GGGAUUAGGGUUCGAUUCCGGAGAGGGAGCCUGAGAAACGGCUACCACAACUAAGGAAGGCAGCAGGCGCGCAAAUUACCCAAUCCUAAUACAGGGAGGUAGUGACAAGAAAUAACAAUACAGGACUUUUUUAGUUUUGUAAUUGGAAUGAGUUAAGUAUAAACCCCUUUACAAGUAUCAAUUGGAGGGCAAGUCUGGUGCCAGCAGCCGCGGUAAUUCCAGCUCCAAUAGCGUAUAUUAAAGUUGUUGCAGUUAAAAAGCUCGUAGUUGGAUUUCUGUUAAUAAUUUAUAUAUAAUAUUUUUAAUAUUUAUAUAAUAUUAACAUAAUUCAUAUUACUAUAAUUUUUAUUAGUAUAUGAAAUUUUACUUUGAGAAAAUUAGAGUGCUUAAAGCAGGCAUAUGCCUUGAAUACUCCAGCAUGGAAUAAUAUAAAAGAUUUUUAUCUUUUUUAUUGGUUCUAAGAUAAAAAUAAUGAUUAAUAGGGACAGU
This 489-nucleotide ribosomal RNA is filed under the name Cryptosporidium suis. Its description in RNAcentral is "SSU rRNA". It matches the Rfam family "Eukaryotic small subunit ribosomal RNA", at positions 366 to 882 of the family's 1831-position model. Lineage: Eukaryota; Apicomplexa; Conoidasida; Eucoccidiorida; Cryptosporidiidae. The record is from RNAcentral.